Molecule: long non-coding RNA, 634 nt
Organism: Clupea harengus (Atlantic herring)
Lineage: Eukaryota; Metazoa; Chordata; Actinopteri; Clupeiformes; Clupeidae
Source: Ensembl
CCGCUCCUCUCCAGUGCUUGCAGUAGGGAUAGGAGUGGGACUAGGCCUGGCCUUUAUUCUCACCGCUCUGUCUGUGCUGCUGUGGCGAUCCAGAAAGAUCAAAGGUGUUCUUCUUUCCAGCACAUUACCUGGCCAGCAACAGCAGAGCACCAAUCAGAGUUUAAACCAGGGCCAGGUACAAUCCACUGAGAGAGAGGGGGACCAGUCUGAUUACAUGCCCCUUCAGCGAGGAACUUCAGAUGUCUAUGACACCAUUCAAUAGAUCACGUGCCUCAGCAGAGCGGUCAGCUGUGAGUUGGACAUGUACUGUGACAAAUCUCUGAUCAGUUUAGGUAUCAAUUAUCUCAGUGAGUUGGACAUGUACUGUGACAAAUCAGUUAUCUCUGAUCAGUUUAGUUAUCAAUUAUCUCUGAUAACUGAUAGUUGCAUUUCAAACAUUAUGGAUCACUAUUUACAUUGGUGUACAGUUUGUUGACAUCACAAUUUAUCACAAUAUCAUUAAUGCCUUGAAUAAUGAAACUGUUGUGAUGUUGUGAUGAAAUGUUGAGAUGUAUUCAAAAGUGAGAUGUUGUGGUUAUUUAAGGAGAAGGAAAUCACUUGAUCAUGUUUUAGUGCUCCACAGUAAUCUCAGGUC